CUUCUCCUGCAGCACAGCCUGGAGCCCGACUACUGCAUGGUGGUAGAAAUUACAGCCCAGGAGGCUCCAUAGUGAAGGGUUGUCAGAGGAGGACACGCCUGCCCCCAGGUUCCUACAAUAUAGGAUCUGCUCAGUGGAUAUCUUCUAUAUUAGAUUAUUCUCCUGAUUGACCCAUCAAGGAUGGACAGGGACAAGAUGGCGGAGAGUAUAAUAAAUCUCACCCUAGAGAUCCUCUUCAGGCUUACUGGAGAGGACUACACAGUAGUAAAGAAGACCUCUAGUGAGCUCUGUCAGGCCCCUGUGUCUGAAGG
Bufo gargarizans (Asiatic toad) is the source of this 311-nucleotide long non-coding RNA. RefSeq lists it as uncharacterized. The transcript is spliced from 3 exons. NCBI's taxonomy places the organism in Eukaryota, Metazoa, Chordata, Amphibia, Anura, Bufonidae. The record is from RefSeq and is a predicted model, not a curated record.